ACCUUUGCCUUAAUCCCCCUUCCUUGCCAUGCAAGGGAUCCUCUUUCCCAUCAGUUUUAGGUCACUUAGACCUUUCCCAAACCCUUGCCGCACAAGUAGACCUAUUUCCCUUUAGUUUUAGGACAUGUUUCCUUUCUUAAAACAUGAGCCGCACCUCCCUCAUCAUUUCCUCUUCCUUGCCGUGCAAGGGGGAGGGUUUCUUUCCCAAAAUUGGUAUGAUAUUAACUAGCACUCAAAUUAAACCCUCUUUUUAUCAAUUGUAGCAAUGUAUGUACGUAGGGAUCGUUCUAGACCGGGGAUUAGGAGGGAUUGCAAAAUCACUUGGAAUUGACUCAAAUACGUAAAAACAAGUUUAAAAUACUAAACUAGACUCAAAGAAUGCAAAACUAAACUCUAAAACACUAAAACAAACCAAAAGACUCAAAACAGCCUAAAAACCACUUUCUGGGCAGUUUUGGACACUAAUCACCAAAUUGGACGAAUUUGGGUUUUAACUUGAAUCAAAACACUUAAAAACACAAAGUAAAACACUUACUAACUAAUUUGUCACUUUAAAACAAAGGGGGAAUUGGUUUGGACGAAUUUAAAACAAGACAUAAACUCUGUAAAACAAAACAGUUUUGAAAACUGAUAGGAGCAUAUUUAUGCGCCUUAGUUUAGCUUGUUCUUGUGCAUUUAUAGUGUUUUUGCUUAGUAAAGUAGUCUUUUAAGCUAGUUUUAUGUGUUUUCAGGUUCUAAGGGCAAAAUAUGAAAAAGGAUGCAUUUUGGAGCCUUUUGGAGCAAAGUUGAGCUUGGAAUGGAUGUCAUAUGCUUGGAGCCAAGAGGAUGGACGAAAUUGAAGAUUUGAAGAUGAUGUUUCCUACUUGAACAAGGUUUCCUAGUCGAAGUAGGAAAGUGCCUAAGUGAAGAUGGAAUCCUAGUUGAAUUAGGAUUCCUUAAAGAUGAAGAUUCCUACUCAAACAAGGUUUCCUACUUGAAGUAGGAAAGUUAAAUCCAAAUGGCAUCAAGUUUCAGCAACAAAGAAGUUUUCCAAGUCCAAGAAGGAAAAGGAAUCCAAGAUGAAGAAGGAGAAGAAUUCCAAGUCAAGGGAGGAUUGAGACAUGUUUUCCUAAUACUAGAAGGACUCCUAAGUGUUGUAGGACACAAAUGAGAAGUUUCUAGAAAGUUUACAUCUUUGCCGUGGGUUUCAUGCAAUUCCUAUCAGUUUUGGGGCUUUCUAGAAGCCCUAUCCUUAAAUCC
This 1239-nucleotide long non-coding RNA is filed under the name Malus domestica (apple). RNAcentral's name for it is "long non-coding RNA (MDOM_LNC019961)". The record is from RNAcentral. Lineage: Eukaryota; Viridiplantae; Streptophyta; Magnoliopsida; Rosales; Rosaceae.